CGCGCAGGCGGUCGUUCAAGUCGAGUGUGAAAGCCCCCGGCUCAACUGGGGAGGGUCAUUCGAUACUGAUCGACUCGAAGGCAGGAGAGGGUAGUGGAAUUCCCGGUGUAGUGGUGAAAUGCGUAGAUAUCGGGAGGAACACCAGUGGCGAAGGCGACUACCUGGCCUGUUCUUGACGCUGAGGCGCGAAAGCUAGGGGAGCAAACG
RNAcentral lists this ribosomal RNA (207 nucleotides) under uncultured bacterium. RNAcentral's name for it is "partial 16S ribosomal RNA". It matches the Rfam family "Bacterial small subunit ribosomal RNA", at positions 568 to 774 of the family's 1533-position model. The record is from RNAcentral.